RNAcentral lists this ribosomal RNA (253 nucleotides) under uncultured bacterium. RNAcentral describes it as "partial 16S ribosomal RNA". It matches the Rfam family "Bacterial small subunit ribosomal RNA", at positions 524 to 776 of the family's 1533-position model. The record is from RNAcentral.
UACGUAGGGUGCGAGCGUUAAUCGGAAUUACUGGGCGUAAAGCGUGCGCAGGCGGUUUUGUAAGCCAGAUGUGAAAUCCCCGGGCUUAACCUGGGAAUGGCAUUUGGGACUGCAAGGCUCGAGUGCGGCAGAGGAGACUGGAAUUCCAGGUGUAGCGGUGAAAUGCGUAGAUAUCUGGAGGAACACCGGUGGCGAAGGCGGCAUCCUGGACCGGUAUUGACGCUGAGGCGCGAAAGCUAGGGGAGCAAACGGG